Molecule: ribosomal RNA, 484 nt
Filed under: uncultured bacterium
Lineage: Bacteria
Description: partial 16S ribosomal RNA
Rfam family: Bacterial small subunit ribosomal RNA
Source: RNAcentral
AUUGAACGCUGGCGGCAGGCCUAACACAUGCGAGUCGAGCGGAUGAAGGGAGCUUGCUCCUGGAUUCAGCGGCGGACGGGUGAGUAAUGCCUAGGAAUCUGCCUGGUAGUGGGGGAUAACGUCCGGAAACGGGCGCUAAUACCGCAUACGUCCUGAGGUAGAACGUGGGGGAUCUUCGGACCUCACGCUAUCAGAUGAGCCUAGGUCGGAUUAGCUAGUUGGUGGGGUAAAGGCCUACCAAGGCGACGAUCCGUAACUGGUCUGAGAGGAUGAUCAGUCACACUGGAACUGAGACACGGUCCAGACUCCUACGGGAGGCAGCAGUGGGGAAUAUUGGACAAUGGGCGAAAGCCUGAUCCAGCCAUGCCGCGUGAGUGAAGAAGGUCUUCGGAUUGUAAAGCACUUUAAGUUGGGAGGAAGGGAAGUAAGUUAAUACCUUGCUGUUUUGACGGUACCAACAGAAUAAGCACCGGCUAACUUCGUG